This 446-nucleotide ribosomal RNA is filed under the name uncultured bacterium. RNAcentral's name for it is "partial 16S ribosomal RNA". It matches the Rfam family "Bacterial small subunit ribosomal RNA", at positions 338 to 795 of the family's 1533-position model. The record is from RNAcentral.
CCUACGGGAGGCUGCAGUCGAGAAUCAUUCACAAUGGGGGAAACCCUGAUGGUGCGACGCCGCGUGGGGGAAUGAAGGUCUUCGGAUUGUAAACCCCUGUCAUGUGGGAGCAAGUUAAAGAGAUAGUACCACAAGAGGAAGAGACGGCUAACUCUGUGCCAGCAGCCGCGGUAAUACAGAGGUCUCAAGCGUUGUUCGGAAUCACUGGGCGUAAGGCGUGCGUAGGCUGUUUCGUAAGUCGUGUGUGAAAGGCGCGGGCUCAACCCGCGGACGGCACAUGAUACUGCGAGACUAGAGUAAUGGAGGGGGAACCGGAAUUCUCGGUGUAGCAGUGAAAUGCGUAGAUAUCGAGAGGAACACUCGUGGCGAAGGCGGGUUCCUGGACAUUAACUGACGCUGAGGCACGAAGGCCAGGGGAGCGAAAGGGAUUAGAUACCCGGGUAGUC